RNAcentral lists this ribosomal RNA (465 nucleotides) under Vreelandella stevensii. Its description in RNAcentral is "partial 16S ribosomal RNA". It matches the Rfam family "Bacterial small subunit ribosomal RNA", at positions 338 to 795 of the family's 1533-position model. Lineage: Bacteria; Pseudomonadati; Pseudomonadota; Gammaproteobacteria; Oceanospirillales; Halomonadaceae. The record is from RNAcentral.
CCUACGGGUGGCAGCAGUGGGGAAUAUUGGACAAUGGGGGCAACCCUGAUCCAGCCAUGCCGCGUGUGUGAAGAAGGCCCUCGGGUUGUAAAGCACUUUCAGUGAGGAAGAACGCCUGGUGGUUAAUACCCAUCAGGAAAGAGAUCACUCACAGAAGAAGCACCGGCUAACUCCGUGCCAGCAGCCGCGGUAAUACGGAGGGUGCGAGCGUUAAUCGGAAUUACUGGGCGUAAAGCGCGCGUAGGUGGCUUGAUAAGCCGGUUGUGAAAGCCCCGGGCUCAACCUGGGAACGGCAUCCGGAACUGUCAAGCUAGAGUGCAGGAGAGGAAGGUAGAAUUCCCGGUGUAGCGGUGAAAUGCGUAGAGAUCGGGAGGAAUACCAGUGGCGAAGGCGGCCUUCUGGACUGACACUGACACUGAGGUGCGAAAGCGUGGGUAGCAAACAGGAUUAGAUACCCGAGUAGUC